GAUGAAGAACGUAGCGAAAUGCGAUAAGUAAUGUGAAUUGCAGAAUUCAGUGAAUCAUCGAAUCUUUGAACGCACAUUGCGCCCGCCAGUAUUCUGGCGGGCAUGCCUGUCUGAGCGUCAUUUCAACCCUCAUGCCCCUAGGGCGUGGUGUUGGGGAUCGGCCAAAGCCCGCAAGGGACGGCCGGCCCCUAAAUCUAGUGGCGGACCCGUCGUGGCCUCCCCUGCGAAGUAGUGAUAUUCCGCAUAGGAGAAGCGACGAGCCCCUGCCGUUAAACCCCCAACUUUCUCAGGUUGACCUCAGAUCAGGUAGGAAUACCCACUGAACUUAAGCAUAUCAAUAAGCGGAGGA
Molecule: unclassified non-coding RNA, 349 nt
Filed under: soil metagenome
Description: partial contains 5.8S ribosomal RNA, internal transcribed spacer 2, and large subunit ribosomal RNA
Rfam family: 5.8S ribosomal RNA (bases 1-120)
Source: RNAcentral